This 1231-nucleotide ribosomal RNA is filed under the name Lactobacillus delbrueckii subsp. bulgaricus. RNAcentral's name for it is "partial 23S ribosomal RNA". It matches the Rfam family "Bacterial large subunit ribosomal RNA", at positions 591 to 1832 of the family's 2925-position model. Lineage: Bacteria; Bacillati; Bacillota; Bacilli; Lactobacillales; Lactobacillaceae. The record is from RNAcentral.
GGGUAAUGGCGUGCCUUUUGUAGAAUGAACCGGCGAGUUGCGUUAGUCAGCAAGGUUAAGUCAGAAAAGACGGAGCCGUAGCGAAAGCGAGUCUGAAGAGGGCGAGCAGUUGGCUGACGCAGACCCGAAACCAAGUGACCUACCCAUGACCAGGUUGAAGGCGCGGUAAAACGCGCUGGAGGACCGAACCCACGUAAGUUGAAAAUUGCGGGGAUGAGUUGUGGGUAGCGGUGAAAUUCCAAACGAACUUGGAGAUAGCUGGUUCUCUCCGAAAUAGCUUUAGGGCUAGCCUCGCAAAGAGGAUGCUGGAGGUAGAGCUCUGUUUGGACUAGGGGCCCGUCAAGGGUUACUGAAUUCAGAUAAACUGCGAAUUCCAGACAUUUAUGUGCGGGAGUCAGACUGCGAGUGAUAAGAUCCGUAGUCGAAAGGGAAACAGCCCAGAUCACCAGUUAAGGUCCCAAAAUUCAUGCUAAGUGGAAAAGGAUGUGGAGUUGCGCAGACAACUAGGACGUUGGCUCAGAAGCAGCCAUCAUUCAAAGAGUGCGUAAUAGCUCACUAGUCGAGUGACGCCGCGCCGAAAAUUUACCGGGGCUAAGCAUGAUACCGAAACUGUGGAUGUGCGUUUAUGCACGUGGUAGGAGAGCGUUCUAGCGGCGGUGAAGCAUGACCGAGAGGACAUGUGGAGCUUCUAGAAGUGAGAAUGCCGGUAUGAGUAACGAAAGACAGGUGAGAAUCCUGUCCGCCGCAAGACUAAGGUUUCCUGGGGCAGGCUCGUCCGCCCAGGGUAAGUCGGGACCUAAGGCGAGGCCGAGAGGCGUAGUCGAUGGACAACAGGUUGAAAUUCCUGUACUGCACCGAAUCGUUAUGAGCGAUGGAGGGACGCAGGAGGCUAGCAGCGCGUGGUGCUGGAUACCACGUUCAAGCGUCAAGUCUGAGAGCGAGUCAAAUGCUUGCUCUCAUAAGGACAAGGCGUGAUGAGGAGCGAAAUUAAAGUAGCGAAGGCUGCGACGUCACACUGCCGAGAAAAGCUUCUAGCCAGAGACGGUGCACCCGUACCGCAAACCGACACAGGUAGUCGAGGAGAGUAUCCUCAGGUGAGCGAGAGAACUCUCGUUAAGGAACUCGGCAAAAUGGCCCCGUAACUUCGGGAGAAGGGGCGCUGGUCGCAAGAUCAGCCGCAGUGAAAAGGCCCAAGCAACUGUUUAUCAAAAACACAGGCAUCUGCAAAAUC